GACUCUGCGGUGGGCGGCAGCCCAAAUCCCAUCCCUGAAGCCCACCUUCACUCGGGACCGGUUAUUACCGUGAGAGGCUGGAAAGAGCAAACAGCUCUGAGAUGCUACCCUCCCCACUCCUUUGAGAGCCGGCAGAGAACAUUUACCUUCAACCAGUCGAAGCUUGCCUAAAGGAGGGUCACAUAGGUUGCUUUGAAAGACUUCUGUGUCCAGCAUUUUGUUUGCACCUCCCCAGCUCUCUAAUGACAUCAAAGAGGCCAGAGUUGUUCUUUUCAGUUUCCAUUUGAAGAAGCAAAGAUCCAGAGAGUUCAGAGGACUUGACCAAGGGCACAGAGCCUCAAUAAGCAUGUGAAGUCUCAGGCACUUCACAGACAA
Molecule: long non-coding RNA, 375 nt
Organism: Bos taurus (domestic cattle)
Lineage: Eukaryota; Metazoa; Chordata; Mammalia; Artiodactyla; Bovidae
Source: Ensembl